This 524-nucleotide ribosomal RNA is filed under the name uncultured Gammaproteobacteria bacterium. RNAcentral's name for it is "bacterial SSU rRNA". It matches the Rfam family "Bacterial small subunit ribosomal RNA", at positions 9 to 522 of the family's 1533-position model. Lineage: Bacteria; Pseudomonadati; Pseudomonadota; Gammaproteobacteria. The record is from RNAcentral.
GAGUUUGAUCAUGGCUCAGAUUGAACGCUGGCGGCAGGCCUAACACAUGCAAGUCGAGCGGCAGCGGGGAGUAGCUUGCUACUCUGCCGGCGAGCGGCGGACGGGUGAGUAAUGCUUGGGAACUUGCCUUUAGGAGGGGGAUAACCACGGGAAACUGUGGCUAAUACCGCAUAAUGUCUACGGACCAAAGCAGGGGAUCUUCGGACCUUGCACCUAGAGAUAGGCCCAAGUGAGAUUAGCUAGUUGGUGGGGUAAAGGCUCACCAAGGCGACGAUCCGUAGCUGGUCUGAGAGGAUGAUCAGCCACACCGGGACUGAGACACGGCCCGGACUCCUACGGGAGGCAGCAGUGGGGAAUAUUGGACAAUGGGGGCAACCCUGAUCCAGCCAUGCCGCGUGUGUGAAGAAGGCCUUAGGGUUGUAAAGCACUUUCAGCAGGGAGGAAAAGCUGAUCGUUAAUAGCGGUCAGUGUUGACGUUACCUGCAGAAGAAGCACCGGCUAACUCCGUGCCAGCAGCCGCGGUA